Molecule: small RNA, 29 nt
Filed under: Bombyx mori (domestic silkworm)
Lineage: Eukaryota; Metazoa; Arthropoda; Insecta; Lepidoptera; Bombycidae
Description: ovarian small RNA-6052
Source: RNAcentral
UACCGUCCGGGCCCGGCGAAGUUCGCCAU